GACGAACGCUGGCGGCGUGCUUAACACAUGUAAGUCGAACGGAAAGGCCCUGCUUUUGUGGGGUGCUCGAGUGGCGAACGGGUGAGUAACACGUGAGUAACCUGCCCUUGACUUUGGGAUAACUUCAGGAAACUGGGGCUAAUACCGGAUAGGAGCUCCUGCUGCAUGGUGGGGGUUGGAAAGUUUCGGCGGUUGGGGAUGGACUCGCGGCUUAUCAGCUUGUUGGUGGGGUAGUGGCUUACCAAGGGUUUGACGGGUAGCCGGCCUGAGAGGGUGACCGGCCACAUUGGGACUGCGAUACGGACCAGACUCCUACGGGAGGCAGCAGUGGGGAAUAUUGCACAAUGGGCGGAAGCCUGAUGCAGCAACGCCGCGUGCGGGAUGACGGCCUUCGGGUUGUAAACCGCUUUCGCCUGUGACGAAGCGUGAGUGACGGUAAUGGGUAAAGAAGCACCGGCUAACUACGUG
This 468-nucleotide ribosomal RNA is filed under the name uncultured bacterium. RNAcentral describes it as "partial 16S ribosomal RNA". It matches the Rfam family "Bacterial small subunit ribosomal RNA", at positions 28 to 507 of the family's 1533-position model. The record is from RNAcentral.